GAUGAACGCUGGCGGCGUGCCUAAUACAUGCAAGUCGAGCGAACGGACGAGAAGCUUGCUUCUCUGAUGUUAGCGGCGGACGGGUGAGUAACACGUGGAUAACCUACCUAUAAGACUGGGAUAACUUCGGGAAACCGGAGCUAAUACCGGAUAAUAUUUUGAACCGCAUGGUUCAAAAGUGAAAGACGGUCUUGCUGUCACUUAUAGAUGGAUCCGCGCUGCAUUAGCUAGUUGGUAAGGUAACGGCUUACCAAGGCAACGAUGCAUAGCCGACCUGAGAGGGUGAUCGGCUACACUGGAACUGAGACACGGUCCAGACUCCUACGGGAGGCGGCAGUAGGGAAUCUUCCGCAAUGGGCGAAAGCCUGACGGAGCAACGCCGCGUGAGUGAUGAAGGUCUUCGGAUCGUAAAACUCUGUUAUUAGGGAAGAACAUAUGUGUAAGUAACUGUGCACAUCUUGACGGUACCUAAUCAGAAAGCCACGGCUAACUACGUG
Molecule: ribosomal RNA, 497 nt
Filed under: uncultured bacterium
Lineage: Bacteria
Description: partial 16S ribosomal RNA
Rfam family: Bacterial small subunit ribosomal RNA
Source: RNAcentral